Molecule: transfer RNA, 68 nt
Filed under: Marmota monax (woodchuck)
Lineage: Eukaryota; Metazoa; Chordata; Mammalia; Rodentia; Sciuridae
Description: tRNA.Ala
Source: RNAcentral
GGUUUGUGGCUCAGUGGUAGAGCGCUUGCCUUGCACAUGUGAGGCACUGGCUUCAAUCCUCAGCACCA